ACGGGUGAGUAAUGCAUCGGAACGUGCCCAGUAGGGGGGGAUAGCUCGGCGAAAGCCGGAUUAAUACCGCAUACGACCUACGGGUGAAAGCGGGGGACCGCAAGGCCUCGCGCUAUUGGAGCGGCCGAUGUCAGAUUAGCUAGUUGGUGGGGUAAAGGCUCACCAAGGCGACGAUCUGUAGCUGGUCUGAGAGGACGACCAGCCACACUGGGACUGAGACACGGCCCAGACUCCUACGGGAGGCAGCAGUGGGGAAUUUUGGACAAUGGGGGAAACCCUGAUCCAGCCAUGCCGCGUGCGGGAAGAAGGCCUUCGGGUUGUAAACCGCUUUUGUCGGGGAAGAAACGGUCCGCGCUAAUACCGUGGGCUAAUGACGGUACCCGAAGAAUAAGCACCGGCUAACUACGUGCCAGCAGCCGCGGUAAUACGUAGGGUGCAAGUGUUAAUCGGAAUUACUGGGCGUAAAGCGUGCGCAGGCGGCUUUGCAAGACAGAUGUGAAAUCCCCGGGCUUAACCUGGGAACUGCAUUUGUGACUGCAUGGCUGGAGUGCGGCAGAGGGGGAUGGAAUUCCGCGUGUAGCAGUGAA
Molecule: ribosomal RNA, 587 nt
Filed under: uncultured bacterium
Lineage: Bacteria
Description: bacterial SSU rRNA
Rfam family: Bacterial small subunit ribosomal RNA
Source: RNAcentral